ACUACUGAUUUCUAUCAAAGCAACUUCGAUGCCUUCCAGACAUCAGAGCCGACAGAUGAGAAGAGCUAAGAACAUGGAGGAGGCUCCUGUAGACACCAAUGUCUCUUGCCAUUUCAUACCAUAGCUCCCCUCCUCCAAGCAGCCUUCCCAGGUCUUUUGAUCAUGGCAGCAAAAAAGCUGACUAAAACAGAGCACUGUAUGGAAAAAAGUGAUGUGAAUUGAAAGUGUAGAAGCCUUCUCAGAGAAGAAGUAUGGCAAGAGAACUUCCCACUGGAGGGAUGAAGGAAGAUCUCUUGAUUUUUGAUCUUGGAGGAGGUGGUAUUGAGGUGUUCCUUUAAGGAUGCUCUGAAACAUCCAGACUGAAAACUCCCAGGGACAGUUUUCGAGUACUUUACUUACCACAACGGGGGCUUUGAGACGGAUGCUGACACUGGAAAAGCUGAGUUCCAGUCCUGGGCUCUCUGCUCACCAGCCACUUGAGCCUGGACACAGAUGCCUGGGCCCCUCCGGAGAAACUGAUUGAAGCAGUCUGUCCAAGAACCUGGCUGUUGGGAUCCGUUGCCAGCUCCCCAGCACAAUUCAGCAUGUCACCAUUAGCACCAACUGUGGAGUUGGGUUCUCCUAUCCUAUCAUCCUAGCAUCACCCAGAGCGGUUGACUUCCUGCAAUGAACUUCAGCAGUUUAACUUGACAUUUGAGGUCCUCGGUAGCGUCUUCCCAAAGGACUUUU
This is a long non-coding RNA of Marmota flaviventris (yellow-bellied marmot), 729 nucleotides long. RefSeq lists it as uncharacterized. NCBI's taxonomy places the organism in Eukaryota, Metazoa, Chordata, Mammalia, Rodentia, Sciuridae. The record is from RefSeq and is a predicted model, not a curated record.